Molecule: ribosomal RNA, 420 nt
Filed under: uncultured bacterium
Lineage: Bacteria
Description: bacterial SSU rRNA
Rfam family: Bacterial small subunit ribosomal RNA
Source: RNAcentral
GAGGAAUAUUGGGCAAUGCCCGCAAGGGUGACCCAGCAACGCCGCGUGGAGGAUGAAUGUCGUAAGAUUGUAAACUCCUGUUAGAGGGGAAGAAUAGUACCGGUUGGACCGGUAUAUGACUGUACCCUCAGAGAAAGCCCCGGCUAACUACGUGCCAGCAGCCGCGGUAAUACGUAGGGGGCAAGCGUUGUCCGGAUUUACUGGGUGUAAAGGGCGCGCAGGCGGGAUAAAAAGUCAGUGGUGAAAUCCUACAGCUUAACUGUAGAAAUGCCUUUGAUACUUUCAUUCUUGAGUUCGGGAGAGAGAGACGGAAUUCCAGGUGUAGUGGUGAAAUACGUAGAUAUCUGGAAGAACACCAGUUGCGAAGGCGGUCUCUUGGUCCGAUACUGACGCUGAGGCGCGAAAGCGUGGGGAGCAAAC